UGGGGAAUAUUGCACAAUGGGCGCAAGCCUGAUGCAGCCAUGCCGCGUGUAUGAAGAAGGCCUUCGGGUUGUAAAGUACUUUCAGCGGGGAGGAAGGCGAUAAGGUUAAUAACCUUGUCGAUUGACGUUACCCGCAGAAGAAGCACCGGCCAACUCCGUGCCAGCAGCCGCGGUAAUAAGGAGGGUGCAAGCGUUAAUCGGAAUUACUGGGCGUAAAGCGCACGCAGGCGGUCUGUCAAGUCGGAUGUGAAAUCCCCGGGCUCAACCUGGGAACUGCAUUCGAAACUGGCAGGCUAGAGUCUUGUAGAGGGGGGUAGAAUUCCAGGUGUAGCGGUGAAAUGCGUAGAGAUCUGGAGGAAUACCGGUGGCGAAGGCGGCCCCCUGGACAAAGACUGACGCUCAGGUGCGAAAGCGUGGGGAGCAAACA
Molecule: ribosomal RNA, 427 nt
Filed under: uncultured bacterium
Lineage: Bacteria
Description: partial 16S ribosomal RNA
Rfam family: Bacterial small subunit ribosomal RNA
Source: RNAcentral